UUUGAUGUGAGAAUGAUGUAAUGAUUUCAGG
RNAcentral lists this non-coding RNA (31 nucleotides) under Rattus norvegicus (Norway rat). The record is from RNAcentral. Lineage: Eukaryota; Metazoa; Chordata; Mammalia; Rodentia; Muridae.